Molecule: ribosomal RNA, 497 nt
Filed under: uncultured bacterium
Lineage: Bacteria
Description: partial 16S ribosomal RNA
Rfam family: Bacterial small subunit ribosomal RNA
Source: RNAcentral
GAUGAACGCUGGCGGCGUGCCUAAUACAUGCAAGUCGAGCGAACGGACGAGAAGCUUGCUUCUCUGAUGCUAGCGGCGGACGGGUGAGUAACACGUGGAUAACCUACCUAUAAGACUGGGAUAACUUCGGGAAACCGUAGCUAAUACCGGAUAAUAUUUUGAACCGCAUGGUUCAAAAGUGAAAGACGAUCUUGCUGUCACUUAUAGAUGGAUCCGCGCUGCAUUAGCUAGUUGGUAAGGUAACGGCUUACCAAGGCAACGAUGCAUAGCCGACCUGAGAGGGUGAUCGGCCACACUGGAACUGAGACACGGUCCAGACUCCUACGGGAGGCAGCAGUAGGGAAUCUUCCGCAAUGGGCGAAAGCCUGACGGAGCAACGCCGCGUGAGUGAUGAAGGUCUUCGGAUCGUAAAACUCUGUUAUUAGGGAAGAACAUAUGUGUAAGUAACUGUGCACAUCUUGACGGUACCUAAUCAGAAAGCCACGGCUAACUACGCG